UCUCCAAGUCCCCGCUCAUCUCAGGAGCCCAGCUGACUUCCCCCAGUGGAUCGUUUUAGGGCUGCAGGCGGAGCUGCCCACCACUCCUAUACUGUGGCGAGGGGCAGGGAGCAUCUGUCGGGGAGCCCAAGCCUCAGGCAGGUCCUUCAGGAGGGAUUCCAGAAGAAGGCAUUGUUAUCAUAGGAGAUGACAGCUCCAUGCCUGUUUGUGCCCGUGAAGACCUCCCAGUGGGACAAGAUGUGGAGGUGGAAGACAAUAAUAUUGAUGAUCCUGACCUGUGUAAAGGCCAAGCCUACACAGCGUUAACUGCAGUGGAAGAUUGUGCUUUUAUCAGAAGCAGCUGAACACCUGAGGACAGGAACAUGGCUGAAGCAAUUCAUUUCUCCAAUUCACUUUGUUCUACUUUAUCAUCAUCAUUCCGGUAUUAUCAUCAUGUUCAUCAGAUUCUCCAUCUAAAAAAGAUUUAUCACAGUGUCUGCAUCUGCAGGCGAUACUACAAUAUAGAUAAAACCAUUGCUCCCUGCCUGCUCCGGAUGAGUUUGCAAAGAGGUAUGGUAUAGAAGAAACACUUUGUGCUUUGAAGCAAGACAAAACUGAGUUAAAAUGGCAAUCUUAGCCUGGGCAACAUAGUGAGACCCCCAUCUCUGCAAAAAAUACAAAAAUUAGCUGAGC
Molecule: long non-coding RNA, 672 nt
Filed under: Homo sapiens (human)
Lineage: Eukaryota; Metazoa; Chordata; Mammalia; Primates; Hominidae
Description: HSALNT0332843
Source: RNAcentral